UACAUGAAUAAUUAUGACUCUUUAUUUAUAAUUAAGUAACAUAAAUUUUGGUAACAAGAGAUAUAACUCAUCACUAUGAAUAGUUACAACUUUUGAUUAAUAACCAAGUAACAUUUAUUACUUAAAACUUUUCAUUUGCAAUUAUUGGUGUAAUAAGCCCAAUUUGCCCGGGCCCAAAAGCACAAACACAAAUAAACCAAAAAUAAAAUUAUAUAUAUAUAACAGUCCUUUUUUAAAUGUUUAGUAUUACAAAGCCCAGAUCUAACAUAAACCUGAUUCUAAACCCAAUAGCCCAAACCCGAAUUUCUUAAUACCCAACCUAAUCAAGCCCAAUGGCCCAACACCAGAAUGCACAUCAGAAACCCUAGGGCAGCAACGCAGCAUCCAGCGCCGCAACUAACAGUAGCCUCCCACACGUGCGCCUCCACGCUGGACUCCUCCAUACCUGCAACAAACAGAGGCAUACAAAACAACAACAGAGAAUAACAAAGAAAAUAUAGGGGGUUUUCGAUUUUAUUUUUAUUUGCGCACAUAGAGAUAUAAAAAGAAACAAAACAACCAUUGUAAAAAGGGGGGAUAGUGAUUGGAUUUUUGAGUUUUUCUUCUUUCGGCUAUAGAGAAAGCCGUUCUAAAAUCUGUAAAGGGGGAUCCCUUUUUUUUACACAGAGAAGAAAAACAAGAAAGCAAAAAAAAAUAUUCAAGUGAAAAGAGCAGAGUUUCGUAAGGUGGUUUUGGAAUUUCUUUUUUUUUUCUCUUUACUUUUCUUUGUUUUUACUACUCCGUUCAUAAAUAGCACGAAAUAAAAAAGAGAAAAGGAAGAACGCUUACCUGGUGGCCGGACCUUGGCUCACUCCGCAGUCAUCGGAGUUGCAGCGAAGUGUGAUGGCUCUUGGACGACGAUUCGUCGGAACGGCGCGGGGUUGAGAGGGGAAAGCUUAGGUUUUUUUUUAAUGGCAGAAUGGAUUUAGAUUAGGUUUUGUAUUUUUGUGUUUGUUAUAGAAACGGUGCCAUUUAAGAAGUGGGAUCCAAUGAUCCGACCCGAUUCAGGGAAGAGGAUCAGUGCCUCUUUGUUCAAUGGUUUAUUUGCGCGAUGAACCCCUCCGCAUUCUCUUUCGUUUCAAUGCAGUUUUUCUUUGAUUUUUUAAUUUUUACCUUGUAUUUGAUUCCAAUUUUAUUUGGAGCCAUGUUCAAACGUUGUCGUUUUCCCAUAUUUGAUUUUGAAUAUCCAGAUUUAUGCGUUUAAUUGUUGUUUUGACCCCUCAAUAUUUGAAUCAAUUAUCAAAUUAGC
RNAcentral lists this long non-coding RNA (1288 nucleotides) under Gossypium barbadense (sea-island cotton). RNAcentral describes it as "long non-coding RNA (GBAR_LNC022164)". The record is from RNAcentral. Lineage: Eukaryota; Viridiplantae; Streptophyta; Magnoliopsida; Malvales; Malvaceae.